This 305-nucleotide ribosomal RNA is filed under the name uncultured bacterium. RNAcentral describes it as "partial 16S ribosomal RNA". It matches the Rfam family "Bacterial small subunit ribosomal RNA", at positions 506 to 807 of the family's 1533-position model. The record is from RNAcentral.
ACAGCAGCAGCCACGGUAAUACGGAGGGGGCUGGCGUUGUUCGGAAUUACUGGGCGUAAAGCGCACGUAGGCGGCUUGGUAAGUUAGAGGUGAAAGCCCGGAGCUCAACUCCGGAAUUGCCUUUAAGACUGCCGAGCUAGUAGGUGAGAGAGGUAAGUGGAAUUCCGAGUGUAGAGGUGAAAUUCGUAGAUAUUCGGAAGAACACCAGUGGCGAAGGCGGCUUACUGGCUCAUUCUAGACGCUGAGGUGCGAAAGCGUGGGGAGCAAACAGGAUUAGAUACCCCAGUAGUCCCUGUCUCUUAUAC